RNAcentral lists this ribosomal RNA (1092 nucleotides) under Percocypris sp. MW-2013b. RNAcentral's name for it is "partial 16S ribosomal RNA". The stretch from base 168 to 1073 matches the Rfam family "Bacterial large subunit ribosomal RNA", at positions 568 to 2044 of the family's 2925-position model. Lineage: Eukaryota; Metazoa; Chordata; Actinopteri; Cypriniformes; Cyprinidae. The record is from RNAcentral.
CCACCUAAUAACCAAACAAUAUAAAUAAAACAAAAUAACCUAACACCAAGAACUAAACCAUUCUUUUACCUAAGUACGGGAGACGGAAAAGGUCAUACCAGAGCAAUAGAAACAGUACCGCAAGGGAAAGCUGAAAGAGAAAUGAAACAACCCAUAUAAGCACAAAAAAGCAAAGAUUGAAUCUUGUACCUUUUGCAUCAUGAUUUAGCCAGUACACCCAAGCAAAGAGACCUUUAGUUUGAAACCCCGAAACCAAGUGAGCUACCCCGAGACAGCCUAUCAAGGGCCAACCCGUCUCUGUGGCAAAAGAGUGGGAAGAACUCCGGGUAGAAGUGACAGACCUACCGAACCUGGUGAUAGCUGGUUGCCUAAGAAAUGAAUAGAAGUUCAGCCUCGUGUUCCCCUAAUCAAAAACACAAACAAGACUAAGAGAAACACACGAGAGUUAGUUAAAGGGGGUACAGCCCCUUUAACAAAGGACACAACCUUCACAGGAGGAUAAAGAUCAUAAUACAUAAAACAUGCCGUUCUAGUGGGCCUAAAAGCAGCCACCUAAACAGAAAGCGUUAAAGCUCAGACAGAAAGAAGUUUAUUAUCCCGAUAAAAAAUCUUACUCCCCUAAAUACUAUUAGACCAACCCAUGCCUACAUGGAAGAGACUAUGCUAAAAUGAGUAACAAGAAGGCCUGCCCUUCUCCAAGCACAAGUGUAAGCCAAACCGGACUCACCACUGGCAACUAACGAACUCAACCCAAGAGAGUAAUGUGAAUUGCAAAAAAACCAAGAAAACCCCACAACUAGACUAUCGUUACCCCCACACUGGAGUGCCAUUAAAGGAAAGACUGAAAGAAAAGGAAGGAACUCGGCAAACACAAGCCUCGCCUGUUUACCAAAAACAUCGCCUCCUGCAACACAACCAAGUAUAGGAGGUCCAGCCUGCCCAGUGACCACAAGUUCAACGGCCGCGGUAUUUUGACCGUGCAAAGGUAGCGCAAUCACUUGUCUUUUAAAUAGAGACCUGUAUGAAUGGCUAAACGAGGGCUUAACUGUCUCCCCUUUCAAGUCAGUGAAAUGAUCUACCCGUGCAGAAGCG